ACUUACACACACUACAAAUCUUUUACACCUUUUCAAACACACACAAAUUCUCUCAAACACCUUCAUAUCUUCAUCAACCUACCAAGAACACCAUAGAAAAACCCUUCCAUCAUAUUCAUCUUUCUUAUAAACCACAUGGAUUUUCAUGGAAAUUAAGAAGAUAUAAAGUAUUUGCAAGUUAAAUCAAGCCUUUUCAUCCAUCCAAGAGUCUUCUAACAACAAGAUCUUCAUCUUCUUUGGAUCAUAAGCUCUUUUAGAUCAUCCCUAGCCUAGAGCUAGAAGUCGCAAUACUGUUCAGGACUACCGUACGUGAAAUCAUAUUUACUUCUACUCACUGAAGCGAUACUGGAAUUAGUGGACCUUGUCAGGGAUUCUAAUUCGGGAAACAAGUAUCAAGACUCCGUGCCAUCUUUUGAAGGGUUUAUCUAUUAUA
This is a long non-coding RNA of Helianthus annuus (common sunflower), 433 nucleotides long. RefSeq lists it as uncharacterized. The transcript is spliced from 3 exons. Lineage: Eukaryota; Viridiplantae; Streptophyta; Magnoliopsida; Asterales; Asteraceae. The record is from RefSeq and is a predicted model, not a curated record.